RNAcentral lists this long non-coding RNA (417 nucleotides) under Trifolium pratense (red clover). RNAcentral's name for it is "long non-coding RNA (TPRA_LNC010641)". The record is from RNAcentral. Lineage: Eukaryota; Viridiplantae; Streptophyta; Magnoliopsida; Fabales; Fabaceae.
UGUUUAAGUACCAUUUACUUACACUUAUAUUUUGAGUAUGUUAUCUAACUCUCUUUUAUGUGUUAUGUGCUGGACCGUUGGGGGUCCAGAUUCACAGGUUUUGUGGUAUUCGAUGUCGAGUCGUCGGUGAAGCUCCGCUCUGAUUGUGACACGGGAAAGGGUUGUAUUUACUAUAUAGAGUCUUUAUGACUAUUUGUAUUUUACUUUGGAAAAUGUAUCUUAUAAAGAAGAUUUAUUUUGUAUAAAGUGAGUUUUUUCUAAUUAAUUAACUUAGUAUGAUUUUCGUAAAGAGGAGUGUAAUAUCUCGAACCAACAAUUUAUCAAUCAUUGAUUUAAGUCUAGAACUUUAUUUUAUCCGUUGCGUCGCUUUUUAGAAAAGAAAUUUUUAAGCCAUAAUAAAGGCAUUAAUGGGUUUGG